RNAcentral lists this ribosomal RNA (164 nucleotides) under uncultured soil bacterium. Its description in RNAcentral is "partial 16S ribosomal RNA". It matches the Rfam family "Bacterial small subunit ribosomal RNA", at positions 318 to 474 of the family's 1533-position model. The record is from RNAcentral.
CCUACGGGAGGCAGCAGUGGCCUACGGGAGGCAGCAGUGGGGAAUAUUGGACAAUGGGCGAAAGCCUGAUCCAGCCAUGCCGCGUGUGUGAAGAAGGUCUUCGGAUUGUAAAGCACUUUAAGUUGGGAGGAAGGGUUGUAGAUUAAUACUCUGCAAUUUUGACG